CCUACGGGAGGCAGCAGUGAGGAAUAUUGGUCAAUGGACGAGAGUCUGAACCAGACAAGUAGCGUGAAGGAUGACUGCCCUAUGGGUUGUAAACUUCUUUUAUAAAGGAAUAAAACGAGGCACGUGUGCCUUUUUGCAUGUACUUUAUGAAUAAGGAUCGGCUAACUCCGUGCCAGCAGCCGCGGUAAUACGGAGGAUCCGAGCGUUAUCCGGAUUUAUUGGGUUUAAAGGGAGCGUAGAUGGGUUGUUAAGUCAGUUGUGAAAGUUUGCGGCUCAACCGUAAAAUUGCAAUUGUUACUGGCAGGCUGGAGUACAGUUGAGGUAGGCGGAAUUCGUGGUGUAGCGGUGAAAUGCUUAGAUAUCACGAAGAACCCCGAUUGCGAAGGCAGCUUACUAAACUGUGACUGACAUUGAUGCUCGAAAGUGUGGGUAUCAAACAGGAUUAGAUACCCCAGUAGUC
RNAcentral lists this ribosomal RNA (460 nucleotides) under uncultured bacterium. Its description in RNAcentral is "partial 16S ribosomal RNA". It matches the Rfam family "Bacterial small subunit ribosomal RNA", at positions 338 to 795 of the family's 1533-position model. The record is from RNAcentral.